AUUUAUCCGGGUGAUGGAUGGGGAAUGCGUCUGAUUAGCUUGUUGCGGGUAAGGCCACCAAGGCGACGAUCAGUAGGGGUUCUGAGAGGAAGGUCCCCCACAUUGGAACUGAGACACGGGUCCAAACUCCUACGGGAGGCAGCAGUGAGGAAUAUUGGUCAAUGGACGAGAGUCUGAACCAGCCAAGUAGCGUGCAGGAUGACGGCCCUAUGGGUUGUAAACUGCUUUUAUAAGGGAAUAAAGUGGGAGUCGUGACUCUUUUUGCAUGUACCUUAUGAAUAAGGACCGGCUAAUUCCGUG
Molecule: ribosomal RNA, 300 nt
Filed under: uncultured bacterium
Lineage: Bacteria
Description: bacterial SSU rRNA
Rfam family: Bacterial small subunit ribosomal RNA
Source: RNAcentral